Molecule: non-coding RNA, 19 nt
Filed under: Rattus norvegicus (Norway rat)
Lineage: Eukaryota; Metazoa; Chordata; Mammalia; Rodentia; Muridae
Source: RNAcentral
CAUUGCUCUUGACUUCAGC